CCCAGCCUAGGGGUCGAAUUGGAGCUGUAGCCACUGGCCUACGCCGGAGCCACAGCAACUCGGGAUCCAAGCCGUGUCUGUGACCUACACCACAGCUCAGGCAACGCCAGAUCCUUAACCCACUGAGCAAGGCCAGGGACCGAACCCGCAACCUCAUGGUUCCUAGUCGGAUUCGUUAACCACUGCGCCACAACAGGAACUCCGUAAAUAAAGUUUUAUUGGAACACAGCUUAUUUAUUGGAAACAAAUAUGCUCAUUUGUUUACAUAUCAUCUAUGGCUGCUUUCACACUGUGCCAGAACUGAGUAAUUGCGAAAGAAACCAUAUGGCUGGCAAACUAAAAAUGUUUACUAUUUGGCCUUUUAUAGAAAAAGUUUGCUGGCCUCUGCUCUAGAUAAAAGAUAUGGAUAAAAGAAAACAAUGGCAAAUUUGGUCUGAGGAGUUAUUCCAAACAUAGCCUCACAGUGUGGGCACAUGAGGCUGGUACUACAUAUAGCUAAGCCUGAGGGUACAGCUCAGAGUUUGUGCUCUCGGGUGCCAUGUGAAAGGCACACAGUUGGGGUUUAAUAAGUGCCUAUUGUUUGCUGCUGAGCAUGGGUUGAUGAUGAAAACAGGGUGACAUCCCUGGCCUCCCUUCUCUCCGCUUGGCAUGGCUCUUGGAAUUUUUCCUGGGCGGAAAACUUCCUUUUCACACCACUGGUGUAUAGAGAAAAGCAGCUCUAUUAUUUAAAUUCUCCAAGAUCAAGGAUGUAAAAUGAAGGCUGUUCCUGGCCCCACAAGACAUCCAAAUAAAUCUCACGGCUUCCAAAUGUGACUGUGUCACCCUGGGAUUAAUACCAAGUAAUCCAGUGCCAACAUCAAGACAGUGAAAAUAAGCAUUUACUCUCCCGGAAAAUCAUUUUAUACUGAUUACAAGUUGUAGCCUGUCACUAGGAUGUGAAUUGAAAAUGUGCACAUUUGCAAGGUUAAUAUUUCUCUCCAGAGUCACUCUCUCCUCUGCCUACCCCCCAGGCCCCAGCUCAAAAGGAAACAGGAAUUCCAAAUAAAUAUUUGUCCUGAGACAUCCUUAUUCCAAGGCACAAAGUUUAAGCCAGAUUUUCAUUUACCUAUAAGACUUCUGCACAAUAUGAAAGCAAGCAGCACUAGUCUAGCAUCAAUGGUCUAGCAGCUAUAGGCUCGCCGCAAUGAUCCAGCAGCUGCAGGCUAGCACCAAUGGUCCAGCAGCAAUGAUCCAGCAGCUCAGCAAUGGUCCAGCAGCAAUGGUCCAGAGCAGCAUUUUCUAGCAAUCUGACAUUUGAGGCUAGAUAAUUCUUUAACUCAGGGGCCUGUCCUGUGCACCCCUCUCUCAAUUGUGACAACUACAGUAUCUCUUGACAUUGUCCAGUGUUCCACGGGAGUCGACUCACUCCUAGUUGAAAACCACAAGUCGAGAGAUUUUGGAAAAAGGUGGAUAGAUAAUGUCCAAGUGGCAGAGCAUGGCUAUCUGUUUACUUUCCUAGCUCCAUCUCUGUCACUACUUUGCCUCCAGCCUUUCAACUCAAAGCAUGCAAGUUCUGUCACCUUCUGACAUUUGCUUGUCCUGGCCAUUCUGCCUGGACGUCUCUCUCCUAAUUUAUCUAUUAUGGAAAGUCACUUCCUUCACGAAGUCUUCCAUGACUACCCCUGCUCCAGGCCCAGGACACAAUUUCCUCCGGGCUCUCACGGCUCUUUUGACAGGCAGUGGAGCCAUUAUCAUGUAGGAGUUGGUCUCUAAGGGAGAAUUCAAAGGAAAAACUGCAUAGAACAAAAUUACCCUUGGGAAAUUCCUUAAAUCCAACUUAAGUAUAGUAUGAAUGGUUUUUGUAGAGUCAACUCUGUUUAGUCAUUUUUAUGCCCGGUCUGCUCAAUACCUCUUAUGUUUAAGAAGUAUUGAGUUACACUAAAGGAAGGAAUACUACGGAAUUCUAUAUGCAGAUGUCUGGACCUUCAGACAUUUGUACGUUUAGAAAAUCUCUGAUAACGAAGGAGGAACAGUCAGUUCCUGCUUUGCCUGCAGGGUUUACUUCAUUUUGUUUUAAUAGCGAACCUCUGUAGUUUUAAUAUCAGUGAAUAACUGGCCAUUGGAAGAAUUAAACUAGAAAACAUAAGUGAAAUUUCCUGAACGUAGAAUCUGGUGCAUGUUAGCUGCACAGCAAGGCUUUCUGAACUGAAAUCUAAAUCUAACUGUUCUUUUUUUCCUUUGGGUUGGGUUGCACUCUAAUUGACAUACGUACCACAUAAGUUUAAGCAUGAUUUGACUUACAUACGUCAUGAAAUAAUUACCCCAAUAAGUUUAGUGAACAUCCAUCAUCUCAGAUACAAAAUAAAAGAAAAAAAUUUUUUUCUACCCUGUUUUUUGAAAGUUAUAGAGAAGAGCUUGCUUCCUGUAUUUCUAAACCCACGUUUUUUCUUAUGACUACAAUUGUCCGACUCUUGACCCAUUUUGCUCAUGACCCUCUAAGUGCCCGUGUUGUCACGACAGAUGUGUUGGUUUGCGCUGUUUUGGUGUGUGUUUCCCACUGGACAAUGAGUUACUUGGGGACAGGGGUCCUCCCUCGUUUAUUUUUAUCUCCUGAAAGCUGCCACAGAGCAAUCGCCCAAUAAUUUGCAUGUCAAGGGAAAGCAUAAGAAAUGUGAGCUUGAAUUAACAUCUCCUGCAUCUCCUACUUCCAAUUUAAAAAUUCUUCCCUCCUGAACGGACACAGUGUAAGAUACUGCACCUUACGGGGUCUGUGUAAUAUAUUAAAAGUAUGUUAACUUAUUCUUCAACACAUAGGAGAUGCCCAGAUGUUGAGGCUUUAAAACUUCUAGAAGGAGGGGCAAGACGGCAACAGUGAAACUGCUCAAGGGAUUGGUAUGAAGGGAGUUUGCUCAGCUCGUUUGGUAGAGACGGGUAAACCUGACCACACUCUUAAGGACCUUUUCAGGUACCCUUAGCUUUUCACGAUCACCUUUGCCAAAUCCACCAGCAGGUAGGCAAGCGGCAAUAAUGAAGCCCAAGUGUCAGGAUGGUUUCUUUCCCCCAAAGGGGAAUUGAGAACAAGAGGUCUGGACAUCCCCCGACCCUGAUUUGAUCGACCCCCCCGACAGCUUUUGCCUAAAGGGCAAACUGACCGCGGCGUAUUCCAUGACUCCUGUUCUGACCUAACAGGUAUCUGAAUCUGUACGUUAAGGAUGUCCAAGGAGGGAAAAGCCCCAAAGUACAAACUGCCUCUGAAAUAUCCCCGCACAGCAUCAAGGGAGAAGACAGCGGGUCUGUCUUCACAUGAUCCUGAAGCCAGGACCCAGAUGGUCAACAAGAGGGCAGGCGGGAGCAACUGGCAACUGGCCUGGCCAGUUCUUCUGGGGAGGCGCUGCCCCUUAAGACAGCUGUUUUCUGCAUUUCCUACAGCAGACGCAUGGGUGUGGGUAACAGAAAGCAGAGGUCCUGUGGAGCUAGAUAUGCUCGCAAUUUGCAUUGGAACCUUAAUGAAAAUUCAAGCAAACGGAUCGCUCCCCA
Molecule: long non-coding RNA, 3516 nt
Filed under: Sus scrofa (pig)
Lineage: Eukaryota; Metazoa; Chordata; Mammalia; Artiodactyla; Suidae
Description: lncRNA (ENSSSCG00030059189.1)
Source: RNAcentral